UGGGGAAUUUUGCACAAUGGGCGCAAGCCUGAUGCAGCGACGCCGCGUGAGGGAUGAAGGCCUUCGGGUUGUAAACCUUUUUCGCUCAUGGUCAAGCCGCAGCUUUGGGUUGUGGUGAGGGUAGUGGGGAAAGAAGCGCCGGCUAACUACGUGCCAGCAGCCGCGGUAAUACGUAGGGCGCGAGCGUUGUCCGGAAUUAUUGGGCGUAAAGGGCUUGUAGGCGGUUGGCCGCGUCUGCCGUGAAAUCCUCUGGCUUAACUGGGGGCGUGCGGUGGGUACGGGUUGACUUGAGUGCGGUAGGGGAGACUGGAAUUCCUGGUGUAGCGGUGGAAUGCGCAGAUAUCAGGAGGAACACCGGUGGCGAAGGCGGGUCUCUGGGCCGUUACUGACGCUGAGGAGCGAAAGCGUGGGGAGCGAACAGG
This 422-nucleotide ribosomal RNA is filed under the name Verrucomicrobiota bacterium. RNAcentral describes it as "Verrucomicrobia bacterium partial 16S ribosomal RNA". It matches the Rfam family "Bacterial small subunit ribosomal RNA", at positions 355 to 776 of the family's 1533-position model. Lineage: Bacteria; Pseudomonadati; Verrucomicrobiota. The record is from RNAcentral.